AAAGAACCUCUUUGAUGUCACGGAACCAAGCUUUGCGUUUGGAGGAAUCAAUGCCAAGGGAAGUACGAGAAGGGUUGUGCUUGAAGGUGCUCCAUAGAAAGACAUGGUAUCCCACUGCUAUCAACAAACUUAAUGGCACAACUAUGCUGUCUGUGUCGAUCUUCAUUCUCAUUCCUCUCCUUUUUUUUUUCUUCCAGUUUUGGAGACUAAUUACACUGAUUCUAAUUCGCAUUAGCAAAGGAAUAUACCAAUAUAUAAAGAUAAAAAGUUAGUGGACAAAUGGGAUUCAUAGUCAGAUAUCAAAACGAAAAUAGUGGACAUCUCUCCAUUGUCUUGCCGGUGUUAUUUUGGACGUAUACGCAACUAAUUCUUGGUCGGACUAUUAAACAAAAGUUAAAUAUUUAGGAUAAAGUAGGACAUAUUAACAUCUGACAAUGCACACUCACAUUACCCACUAGCUAAAGUAGGACAUAUUAACAUCUACAUAUUUAUUCGGUUCGGUUAAUUCGGUUUUUUGAUUUUUCGGUUAUCUAAAAAUUCUGCCGAAUUGAACCGAAUUUUUAUUCGGUUCGGUUUGUUCGGUAUUCGGUUCGGUUAGUGGAUUUAAAAACAGUUCCGAAAUAAACCGAAAAUUUUCCUAAUUCGGUUAAUUCGAACCGAAUUAGACCAAAA
This is a non-coding RNA of Camelina sativa (false flax), 672 nucleotides long. The record is from RefSeq and is a predicted model, not a curated record. NCBI's taxonomy places the organism in Eukaryota, Viridiplantae, Streptophyta, Magnoliopsida, Brassicales, Brassicaceae.